AGUGACGUCACCGGUGUAGGUGUUGGGAGCUCCGUGCAGUUGCAGCUUGUAUCCAAUGGCUGUUGCCUAGGAGAUAGGACCGCCCUCUGCCAUCAAGACAGGGAACGUGGAUUUGCUCAUGCUCAGUUGAGUCCUUGUUUAUGUGCAGCUUGCCUAUGAAAAUACAGCUGGCUAACAAGAUUGGUGAUAGAAGCAUGCUCCAUCUACAGAUAUGGCUGUUGGAAGCAAAUGGCUCUAGACUGUGGUUCUCAACCUGGGGGGGGAGAUCCACCUUUUCAUAGGGGGUCACCUAAGACGAUCUUCAAAUCAGUAAACCAGACAACAUGAACCACUCCAUGGCUUUUGCUCAGUGUAAAGUCCCAUGACACGGCCCAUGGAACCACAUCAGAGUCUUUCUACUAUUUGGCAGUGAUCUAUGAUGGGACAGAAUGCCAGGUCCUGCGCAUGCUUAGGAAGUUUUCUACCCCUGAGUGACACCAUUAAUUUUUCUUUUAAAUCCUACAUCCUGAAGAAGAAUACAAGAAAAUGAGACCCUUGUUGCUGUAGUUUUCAAAAGACUGACAUGGUUAAUCUUGGAGAGAGAAGACCAAAGAGCCAGGUCUUGAACAAUCGGAGCUGCUCAGACUGCUGUUGCAGCUGCUGGAGAGAUAAGCACUUUGCAAGUGUGCUUCACCACUUCAUUUCCUUAUUUUAUGAAGGAGGCUUCUGCUUGUGUUUGACCUUGGGAU
Molecule: long non-coding RNA, 728 nt
Filed under: Cricetulus griseus (Chinese hamster)
Lineage: Eukaryota; Metazoa; Chordata; Mammalia; Rodentia; Cricetidae
Description: lncRNA (ENSCGRG00015038191.1)
Source: RNAcentral